AUUAAAUACAUAGAAAUAGGUGUUUAAAAACUUAAUGGACAUAAGUUUUUAACUUAAAAGGGAAGUUUGGUGAAAAUCCAACGCGGUCCCGCCACUGUAAAUGAGGAGCGACCUAUACAUUGUCACUGUCUGAACGAUGGGAAGACAUAGGAAGCGAUGAUUCAUGAGCCAGGAGACCUGCCUAUUUCAAGUACGCCAA
This 199-nucleotide non-coding RNA is filed under the name Bacillus sp. (in: firmicutes). The record is from RNAcentral. Lineage: Bacteria; Bacillati; Bacillota; Bacilli; Caryophanales; Bacillaceae.